Molecule: ribosomal RNA, 467 nt
Filed under: uncultured bacterium
Lineage: Bacteria
Description: partial 16S ribosomal RNA
Rfam family: Bacterial small subunit ribosomal RNA
Source: RNAcentral
AGUGAACGCUGGCGGCAGGCCUAACACAUGCAAGUCGAGCGGGAACUUAGGUGUCAGUGGCUGACGGGGGAGGAAAGCGUCGGAAGGUUCACGUUUAUUUGGGAUUCCGCUUGGAAGCGGGCGCUAAUACAGGAUAAGAUCUCUUAGGGCAGCACAUGAUGUAGAGGGUAAAGCCGGCGUCCGACUGGCCUUUUGCGGGCGUAUGGGCCGACCUCGGAUUAGUUAGUUGGCGGGUUAGAGAGCUACCAAGGCGACGAUCAGUAGCUGGGCUGAGAGGACGAGCAGCAACACUGGGAGUGAGACACGGCCGGGACUCCUAGGGGAGGCAGCAGUGGGGAAUAUUGGACAAAGGGCGCGGGCCUGAUCCAGCCAUGCCGCGUAAGUGAUGAAGGCCUGAAGAUUGUAAAGGUCUUUUGUCCGGGACGAUUAUGACGGUACCGGAAGGAUAAGCCACGGCUAACUUCGUG